UUUUUUUUGGUACCAGGGAUUGAACCCAUGUUCACUCAUCUACUGAGCCACAUCCCCAGCCCUAUUUUGCAUUUUAUUGAGAGGCUGGGCCUCACUGGGUUGGUUAGCACCUUUUGCAAUUGCAGAGGCUGGCUUUGAAUUCGAUUCUCAUGUCUCAGCCUCCCAAGCCACUGGGAUUACAGGUGUGCGCCACCACACACAGCUUCAUUGUGUUUUUAACAACAAAAUUAAGAUCAUUCAUCAAAAAUACCUAGAAAUUCUAUCAAAUGGUAUAAAAAUGUCUCCACAGUAUUAGUAUUACUAGUAUAGCUGAAGGCUGUGAUAAGUUUUUUUUAGAAACCAGUGAGUCCUUCCCACUUGUUAGUUUGAACCACUGCUCAAGGCCCCAUGAAACACUGUGAAAACUUUCCCUGUCACCACUGACAGAAGGAUUGAAGAUGGCCGUACAGUACAGGACUUGGUGAUAUAGGGGCUGGAGGCACCCUCUGCAGCCUUCUCAAAAACCAGGACAAUCUGAGUCUGAAAAUUACAAAACAGUCAAUUCUCUUUAUGUCCUAUAAAGCCGCCUCUGAUAUAAAUUAGCAAAUACUGAAAUCCUUCAUUGCUCUACUGAGUUAGGUUUCCAGAGUUUACGUUCACACAGUUUUCAAUGAAUCAACUUAUGAUCUUGUUUUCUUGUUCAAGACACUUUAUUCUGCUGAACUCUUUAACACUGCUUCACGGCCAACAUCACUGCAACUCAGGCAUGAACAAAGCUCAUCUAAUACACAGUAUUUUCUAAGACACAGCACAGCCUUCUUGCCCUUAGGAACACUGGUCAGUCCAACAGCACUGCACUUGGGACCAUUUCAAAUAGGAAAGUCAUCAAGGAAAAGCACAAAACUGCAAAAUGGCACUAAAAGGACCGACCAAACAAACAAACAAAAAGACACAGCGUGACAACUGAAAGACUGAACGUCCCCUUGUUCACCUUAGGGUGGGAAAAUAUUCACUGGAGAUUCCAACUCUCCACUGCACUGCACAAGUCCUCAAAUGACUGCAAAAGCACCGUGUACAGUGGCGGGUUACAAAUAAAUUUUAGCAACUAGGCAUAUCUGCAAACACAGAAUCCAUAAAUGACUAAGAACAACUCAUUUGGGAUUAACAUUUGGGAUUAACAAAGAUGAUAAAAAAGCUCUCCAUCUAGUGGAAACUUUUAGAAGCACAGAGCUACUUAGGCAAAAUUGGUAGAACUUUCAUUCAGAAAACAAGGAAAAAAAAUUAGUGAUUUUAGCUUUAGAUGGAGUCAUGAUGCAGUCAAGAGUUCUGAAGUUAUGUCAAGAAACAAAUUUUAGCUAUGUAUACAACAAUGCUGACUUCUAUGGUAAAAUCCCACAGUGUGAGAAGAGAGAAAUUAGGAUUCCCCCUUUUUAAUUCAUGUAACUACAGCCUUUACUGAUAGCUAUUAUGACAGACAUCUUUGGGGACAAACUCAGUGGUUAUCUAGCCAUUGUUAGUUCCUUAAUGUUGUUUCAGCUCAUAUAAAAAUACAUUGCCAGAGUCUAAACAAAGUACAAAAAAGGCCCAGCUAUCAGUGGUUAGAUAUAAAGCAAAAUUUAAAACAAUCUGACAUCAUGCUACUUCAAUUUUAAAAUGUCAACUCUUUAAUAUAUUAAACAAAAUGUGAGUCACCAUGGGCCACUGUUACAGAGGGAAAAUUAAUCUAUAACAAGGACAAUCAACCCAAGCAAAUUUUCUUUAGUUCUACUGUUGUGGCUCUGAAAGUUUCAACUCCAGCAGACUGGAAGAAGUGGGUAUUGAACCUAUACAAAGAGCACAGUGUUCUUCUGGGGCUGGGGAUGUAGCUCAGCAGUAGAGUACUUGUCUAGUAUGUGCAAGGCCCCAAGUUCAAUCCCCAGCACUGCAAAAAAUAAUAAUAAAAAAAACGAGUUCCUGAGUGUGUUAGCUAGAAAAAGUUCUUCUAGGGGCCGAGAUUGUGGCUCAGCAAGAGUGCUCACCUAGCACGUGCGAGGCCCUGGGUUCGAUCCUCAGCACCAUUUUUGUUUAAAAAAAUCAUAAUAAAAAUAAACUGUUGGGUAUCAUUAGAAUAUUAUAACAUAUAAAAAUAAAGGUAUUUUAAAAAAGUUCUUCUAGCACAUCUCCAGCUUCACAGGAUGUGAAGAGAUAAGCACAUUAUACUAGUAAGUACAACUUAAUCACCUCACUCCUCAAAAAUCUAAGCUAUAAGACUUUCUAUAAAAACAUCUCUAAGCAAUUGCAUAUCUUAAAUACAAACCAAAGAUAUGGUAAUCCAGAAAUGGUAUUUCCCCCUUAGGUAUGGGAAAGUUCUAAGGCCACAAAACUGAUACUAUCUUCAAUAAACAGGAAACUUUAAUUUUUGAUUGAAUCUUUUCCUUCCAUAACUUGGUGGGUAAAUCUGUUACGUAUCUGCU
Molecule: long non-coding RNA, 2432 nt
Filed under: Marmota monax (woodchuck)
Lineage: Eukaryota; Metazoa; Chordata; Mammalia; Rodentia; Sciuridae
Source: RNAcentral